UUGGAAGAGAAUCCAACUACAAAGGAACCCUAGGGUUUUUAAGGAAGCACCAUCAUUCCAAUUGGAUCAUUAGGGGAAUUUGAGUCAAUUAAAAGUUCUACAAUCAAUUAAUCACGAGGCAGCCGGUAACUAGGACGAGGUAUCCUUG
RNAcentral lists this small RNA (148 nucleotides) under Theobroma cacao (cacao). RNAcentral describes it as "sRNA Tc04v2_g005060". Lineage: Eukaryota; Viridiplantae; Streptophyta; Magnoliopsida; Malvales; Malvaceae. The record is from RNAcentral.